GGCGGGAUAGCUCAGCCCGGUGGAGCAGACGGCUCAUACCCGUUAGGUCGCUGGUUCAAAUCCAGUUCCCGCCACCA
RNAcentral lists this transfer RNA (77 nucleotides) under Omnitrophica WOR_2 bacterium GWC2_44_8. RNAcentral's name for it is "tRNA-Met". It matches the Rfam family "tRNA". Rfam says of the family: Transfer RNA (tRNA) molecules are approximately 80 nucleotides in length. Their secondary structure includes four short double-helical elements and three loops (D, anti-codon, and T loops). Lineage: Bacteria; Pseudomonadati; Candidatus Omnitrophota. The record is from RNAcentral. RNAcentral also lists the same sequence under 2 other names.